UACGGGGGGAGCAAGCGUUGUUCGGAUUUACUGGGCGUAAAGGGUGCGUAGGUGGCGGGGUAAGUCUGGUGUGAAAGCUCCGAGCUCAACUCGGAAAAGCAUUGGAAACUAUCCCGCUGGAGGGUCGGAGGGGAGACUGGAAUUUACGGUGUAGCAGUGAAAUGCGUAGAUAUCGUAAGGAAGACCAGUGGCGAAGGCGAAUCUCUGGACAGUUACUGACACUGAGGCACGAAGGCCAGGGGAGCAAACGGG
Molecule: ribosomal RNA, 252 nt
Filed under: uncultured bacterium
Lineage: Bacteria
Description: partial 16S ribosomal RNA
Rfam family: Bacterial small subunit ribosomal RNA
Source: RNAcentral